RNAcentral lists this unclassified non-coding RNA (199 nucleotides) under Ambisporaceae sp. RNAcentral describes it as "partial contains 5.8S ribosomal RNA and internal transcribed spacer 2". The stretch from base 1 to 71 matches the Rfam family "5.8S ribosomal RNA", at positions 84 to 154 of the family's 154-position model. Lineage: Eukaryota; Fungi; Glomeromycota; Glomeromycetes; Archaeosporales; Ambisporaceae. The record is from RNAcentral.
GUGAAUCAUCGAAUCUUUGAACGCAUAUUGCACUCUCUGGUAUUCCGGAGAGUAUGCCUGUUUGAGGGUAAUUAAAAAGAAUCUUUAACAAUUUUUUUUGUCAAAGGAAAUGAGUUUUUCGCGUUUAUAGGGGUAGGUUGAAAUAAAUGGUCAAGUUUUAUUUUAGUCGAGACGCGUAAUAAUUUUAUUUCGCGAAAUU